RNAcentral lists this ribosomal RNA (440 nucleotides) under uncultured bacterium. RNAcentral describes it as "partial 16S ribosomal RNA". It matches the Rfam family "Bacterial small subunit ribosomal RNA", at positions 338 to 795 of the family's 1533-position model. The record is from RNAcentral.
CCUACGGGGUGCAGCAGUGGGGAAUAUUGCACAAUGGGGGAAACCCUGAUGCAGCGACGCCGCGUGAGUGAAGAAGUAAUUCGUUAUGUAAAGCUCUAUCAGCAGGGAAGAAAAUGACGGUACCUGAGUAAGCAGCUCCGGCUAACUACGUGCCAGCAGCCGCGGGAAUACGUAGGGGGCAAGCGUUAUCUGGAUUUACUGGGUGUAAAGGGAGCGUAGACGGCAGUGCAAGUCUGGAGUGAAAGGCGGGGGCUCAACCCCCGGACUGCUCUGGAAACUGUACGGCUGGAGUGCAGGAGAGGUAAGUGGAAUUCCUAGUGUAGCGGUGAAAUGCGUAGAUAUUAGGAGGAACACCAGUGGCGAAGGCGGCUUACUGGACUGUAACUGACGUUGAGGCUCGAAAGCGUGGGGAGCAAACAGGAUUAGAUACCCGGGUAGUC